GCCUCGGUAGCUCAGCUCGGUGGAGCGCGUGACUCGUAAUCACGCGGUCGAGGGUUCAAAAACAGGAUUUUGUUUAAAGUGGAUAACAUCUCAGCAUUUCCUGUGGAACUUCCCUCCCGAGGCU
RNAcentral lists this transfer RNA (124 nucleotides) under archaeon. RNAcentral describes it as "tRNA-Thr". RNAcentral also lists the same sequence under 1 other name. The record is from RNAcentral.